Molecule: transfer RNA, 98 nt
Filed under: Peniophora sp. CONT
Lineage: Eukaryota; Fungi; Basidiomycota; Agaricomycetes; Russulales; Peniophoraceae
Rfam family: tRNA
About the family: Transfer RNA (tRNA) molecules are approximately 80 nucleotides in length. Their secondary structure includes four short double-helical elements and three loops (D, anti-codon, and T loops). Further hydrogen bonds mediate the characteristic L-shaped molecular structure. tRNAs have two regions of fundamental functional importance: the anti-codon, which is responsible for specific mRNA codon recognition, and the 3' end, to which the tRNAs corresponding amino acid is attached (by aminoacyl-tRNA synthetases). tRNAs cope with the degeneracy of the genetic code in two manners: having more than one tRNA (with a specific anti-codon) for a particular amino acid; and 'wobble' base-pairing, i.e. permitting non-standard base-pairing at the 3rd anti-codon position.
Source: Rfam by way of RNAcentral
GGCUCAAUGGUCUAGUCGUAUGAUUCCUGCUUCGGGCUCUUCCCGCCGUCUUCGCGGUUCAAUGCAGGAGGUCCCGGGUUCAAUUCCCGGUUGAGCCC